Molecule: long non-coding RNA, 597 nt
Filed under: Stegodyphus dumicola
Lineage: Eukaryota; Metazoa; Arthropoda; Arachnida; Araneae; Eresidae
Description: uncharacterized LOC118183107, transcript variant X1
Source: RNAcentral
UCAAGCGAGGACAGUCGUAACAAUGGAUACAGCUCCUUUGCCAAAAGAGGGAUUACAUGAUAGUUCAAAAUUAUCAGAUUUUUAUAACUGCAAGAAAUUCCCGAAGAUGCUGUUAAUGUCCUAAAAGGGUAAAGGCAAAGCAAGUAUUUUAGCAUCAGGCUGUUAUUUGAAAAAAAAAAAAAAAAAAAAAAAAAAUCCAAAUUCUGCACUUCUAAUAUUUGCUAAAUGGAAUAGAAGACAUGGAAUCUCUUGGACCAGCUCAGAAUAAACAGCCCAUUAUAGUGUGUAUUACAAGUUCAUUCUAUAUUAAAGCAGUAAAUCACUUAAUAGCAUGCCCAAAUCAUGCCAUGAAGGCAUUUGACAUUCUAUUUAAAACUAAUUUUGUAUUUAGCGUUCAAUAUGCACAUACAUCAACAAAUUUUUAUAAUUUUGUUGCAAGCCUUUUGUAUAAUGUCAGCACUCCUAGAGCUUGUGUGGACUCUUUAAAUACAUGUUUGAGUGUGAAUUUAUUGCAUUUUGUACAUGCAUUACAUUUCAUGUUUUUAAUGUCAUUUUAUUGUCAUAUUUUAGUGUCAUAUUUUCCAUUUUUAUAUAUGU